GCGGAUCCCAGCUUGUCUGGCCUGCCGCCCUGGGCCGCGGAGCCGGACCGGACCCGGGGCAGUGCGGAGGACACGGGCACCGUGCGGACGACCGAACGCGCCCCUGCGGCCCGGCCGGGAUCCUUACACACUCGCGGUCGGGCUUUCUCCUGGGCCACCUGGGAACGCGAUACCUGCUAACUAACACGGAAACGACAGAGGCGAAAUUUUCUGGUUCAAUCCACCCAGCUCCCUGAAGAACUCACGCGAGGUAGCAGCGAAUCCAGGAGCGAACCCAGGCUUCUUGGCGCACUUUCUCACGCUUUUGCUUUUGUGGUCCUUCUGAGGUAAACUUCAGACAGCUCUGGAAGACAGUUACCACGAUGUCACAUGUAGCGUGUGCAACCCUACACAGGCUCCCACACAGAAUUUUCAAGAAUUUACUUCACAGGCCGGAUGUGACGGCACAUGCCAGCAAGUAGGAGGCUGAGGACCGAGGAUCACUGCAAGAUUGAGUUUCUUUCAAGCUGUUUGUUCCCCUUGGCUUUCUCUGGUCUCCAUCUUCUGUGUUAAAGCCUUUGCUCAGAAACUUGUGGCCCUGCUCAUGACUGCCAGAGGGAUCUCAACAGCUCUGAGCACCUGGCUGCAGACCACUGACAACAGACUUCACUGUAGGUGACCUGAACAGCCUGUCCAGGGUGAACUCCUACUUGUUCACUUCAGGUCUUUUUUCUUGGACUAGUCAGAGUUUCCAGUUCCCAGUUCUCCUGAUAGCCUGCUGGAGGGAGAACCCAUCCCUCUGGCAUGGGACAGCUCCCACAACUCAGCCCACAGGAAGACAAAGCUGGAGUAGAGGAACAGCGAGAAGCAGCAGAGGAUCUAGGGACCUGUUUUCAAACUUUACACCUAAACGGUAUUUCGGCCCCUGACCCUUCACCCUUAGUGCCAGGGGUACCCAGUGCUUUUCCCACUGCCAACUUGGGAUUUGCCUCUGGGAUCUGCUAAAUGAGUCAUCUCAACCAUCUGCUUUCCAGCUUCAAAAAUGUUGCUGUUGGUUCCUCUCCUAUUUAUGGAUUUAUGUAUUUUAAUAGUCUUUUUAUUGUAGUUUAGUAAAGUUUUGGGGAAGGAACAAAAUUUGAUGCAUGUGUUCAUUAUGUCAUGUUAACUUCAAGCCUAACCAUUUGUUCUUUCACAAUAAUUACUUGUAAGAGUUUCCCAAGACAAGGACAUACUUGAGAUAAUUUUAGGCAGUAUGGGAGGUAGUAUACUGUAAAAUACUUAAGCAAUAUUAAAUAACUCUGAAUCAUAAUGGAAAAGUUACUUUCUUGUAUGCUUUCUGGUUAACUCUCAGCAUGCCAGGAAAAAGUCAUCAUUUGCCACCUUAAUCCAGUGUACCAUUUUUUCCCUUUUGAACC
This is a long non-coding RNA of Chinchilla lanigera (long-tailed chinchilla), 1394 nucleotides long. RefSeq lists it as uncharacterized. The record is from RefSeq and is a predicted model, not a curated record. The transcript has 4 exons. NCBI's taxonomy places the organism in Eukaryota, Metazoa, Chordata, Mammalia, Rodentia, Chinchillidae.